Molecule: small nucleolar RNA, 135 nt
Organism: Suricata suricatta (meerkat)
Lineage: Eukaryota; Metazoa; Chordata; Mammalia; Carnivora; Herpestidae
Source: Ensembl
CAUCCCAUUGAUUUGCUGCUGUGGUCUCUUAGUAAUAUGAGCAGUUCUACACAUGGGAAAGAAAAGAGCAAUAUUAAGACAUUGUAAAUGGAGAUGGAGUAACCAUUUCAUCCAUUAUGCACAGUUCAGACAUUG